AAUUACCGAUAUUCGCGAUAUCGAUAUCAAUUACCGAAUAUGUCCGAGUCUACUCCAAUACUCAAUGAAGACAAGUCCCGUCGGCCAAAGAUUCGAAACUCACGUUCGGUGAGUAUUAUAAUUUUUGGAGUCGAAUCGCUAUCUCACGGCUUGGUGAGUACCACUGUUAUAGAGCGAUCAUGCGCGAUCCCCUAGCCUCUGCUCUGCCCCCGCAACCUGCGUUCUCCGCCUAGCCUUCUGUUAGUAGUUGCGUAACCCUGCAGAGUCAUGCGAUAGGAUAGCACAGUGCCGUGGUGCGGCGCGACCAACCAACACGAAUAAACCAGAACGAGAAGGAAUGAGCGGAAAGGAAAGGAAAUGAGCGAGAUGGACGAAGACGAUGGGACAAAGAGAAAGCAAGAAAGAGACGUUCGAAAAAGGUUAAGAAAGGAAGGAAGAGAUGGCUCAUCUUCGGGGGGUGGCAGUGGGAAUACGGGGACGUAGAGAUCGAGAGAGAGAGAGAGAGAGAGACGAAGAGAGUGUAGAGAAGAGGCGGUUCAGCCUUGAAACACCGCCGCACCGCGAGCGGCGGCUUCGUCACAAGUUCCGUGCUUCAACUCGCAUCGAAUCGUUUUUACCCAUCUUCCCACGUCAAAGACAUACGCUGAUGUUCACCCCAAUUCACAUUCACCGUUACUGUUUAAUGCUCUUCUUAUCAAGAUUUUCCUCUUCCAUCGAUCGAUGUUUCUCCUUCAUUUCGCAUACAUGUAUGCGCACGCUACGUAUUGCCGAAAAGAUGGCAUGCGAUCUCUUUUUGUAAGAAGGAAUGGGGGAUCUUGGUUUGCUCCGCCUGACCCCACUCUUAAUGUCUAGUUUAAUCGCUACCCAUAGGUCCUGGAGGCUAUGCCACUGCUUUGAAGUCGUCGUCACCGCAUCGCUCUGUUCCAGUCGCACUUAACCGGUUCGUUCGCCUUCUUCGUCGAGCGAUUCGACCAAUUACGAAAAAUCCUUGCGAUGCGAAGUAGGGAUAUCGGGUAGUGGGGCAUAGAUCCCUACAAGUUUUAGCCAUGCCAUCUUCUCGCGAACGAAUGGAACGUAUCUUUCGCUACUAACUUAACACGAAUCCAUUUUUACAACGAAUUCUUUAUUAAACAAAGUAACAAGAAACUAACAAUAAGAAUGAGAUGCAAAGAAAAAAAGUUUCCUUGCAAUGAUAGCUAGAAUACAUUGGCGUACCUGAAAUAAUCUGCAAUUUAUUGUUCGCGGCAGUUUUAUCUGGUCCGCGGUAUCAACGAUUAAUAGCCAGCUGGUUAAUUUAUCGCCGAGGGUUCGUAUCAAAUAGAUGCAUAUAUCAUCGACGCGAUAGAAACGUAUUGGUUCGGAAUCUCAUGGGUCCCUAUGAAUUUUCAUCAUCCCUCUUCUCCAUACCCGACCAACCAUUAUACCUUCGUGGGGCGGAGAGUAAUCCGCAGUCACAGCAACGUUUUCUCGUAUAGCAUCGUAUGCAAAAUUCUAAGAAGCGCGGUGAUAGAUAAAAAUAGAUAAAAGCGACGGUAUCGCUGGCUCGCUGGCUUUCCGGGAACGGUUUCGUCAAUCAGGGUCACCGAUGCAUCGGUGCACCGGUGCGGCUCGUUAUGUCUAAAAGCAAUUUCAUGUAACUCGAAGGAAACGAAACGAUCCUCGUACGAGUUCAGGAAGAAGCACGUUUCGGUCUCGAUAGAAGCGUUAACGUGAACAAUGCAGUCAUUUCGGUAAUAAUAAUGAAGCUGUUAAGCGGGUAGUUGUUUAUUCAGAAAUGCGGUCAGGGUGCGUGGUGAGAAACAAACGGUACGCGCGCACGUAAACGAAAAAAAGGACAGCAUGCAAAGAUGCGAAAUGCAAUCAAGGAUUGUCCGUAAGAAAAACUUUCGAAGUCUAAUAAGCACAGCGCGGAUAAGAUGGGUAGAAGCGCAAAGUGCAAGAAACUAGAGCAGAGGGAAAUUGGAGAAAAUGCAUCUAGAGGGAGGAGAGAUCGUGUGGAGAGAAAAAUUGAGAAAGUGGAAUGAAACGGAGUGGCGAAGGAAGGGAAGGGGGUAGUAUAAAAAAGGCGAAGAGAAGAAAUGGAAAGAAACGUGUGCCGCGAAGAGGGUAGCUGCUUUCGACUUCGUAGUAGGCCUCGAUCGAUGUUGUUACCAUGGCUACGGGGGCAGUACUGCGGUGCUCUACUACUGAUUAUUUAUGUCAAGGAUCCUCCCCCUCCCUGCUUCGAAGCUCGAAACGCGUGCUCUAAACGCGAAUCACCCCGAUGCAAAUAACAAUGAGCAUUUCGUUCUCCCUCUAACGAACAACUAGUACGAAGGUUCGUGUCUCUUUCAGAUAUUAUUCUAAUUUUAUCAGAGAUACUUAAUUUGAUAUCUCCCAUUAUGUUAGAUUCUAAAUAAUAUAUCUAAUUUAACCCUCUUCAUUUAAACGUAAAGCUGAAAUUAAUAAGUGUCCCAUGACUUAUUGACUUUAAAUAGCAUUAUGAAGCAAUUGAAAAGGCCUUUGGCUCACGGUUAAACUCGAUGCGAUAUCAUCGUAAAGAUAGAAGCAUUUAUUCUGAGGGGGGCCACUAGCGCAAUCACGUGACAAGCAUAACGAUGAGAUCAAACGCGAACCCUCGUACUUUUUUCCGCAAUGGUAGCAGAAACCGACGAGAAUCUAUGCAGAUGGGUUAGUCUUUCGUGAAAUUUAGAUCGGUAAGCAGAACGGAGUACUUUUAACCCAGCAGUCGACUACGGUAAACCAAUAAAAAUUAAUCGCAUGAUUUAAGUGACGGAACGAGUGCAUUUCAUGUCAUCUGAGAGAGGGUUUUUUUUUUCUUUUUAAUUGCACAGCAACCAUAGCAACGUAGUCAUUGACAUAACUAGGUAAAGACCAGGGUGAAAGGAUGAAAAUAAAUAAAAAACAUUGGGUCAAAAUCCAUGGAUUACCUACAUACGUAUAUAGCAAGCCAUUAAACUUUUUUAAUACAUCUUUCAUUCUUUUAUAAGAAAAGGUACGACACAUAAAUACGUCCAAACAAAUACCGUAACCUAUAAAGUAAGUUAUAUUUAUACGGUCGUAAUUUAAGUUCCUCGAUGGUAAAGGAUACAUACAUAUGUACAUGAAAGUAUCGUAAAAAAAUAAGUAAAGAUGAUGGUAUUACGGUUAGUACAUCGGUAAAUCGUAAAACGACGCGGUUAAUGAUAACUGAAGUUGGAGCUUUGGUACUGCUUUCAAAGGGAAAGAGCGGAGAGGAUGGAAAAGAACACGCAGAGGAAAGUAAGUACUCCCGUUGGGAAGGUUGCUUUCGACCCAAUUUCACCCUCCCAUAGUGGUGGUACCGUCAUGGAGCAAUCGAUACUGCGCCUAAGGGACGUGCCAGCGUGCUCUAUCAGUACGACGUUUAUCGCUCUAGCUUGCGCAGAAGCGACGAUUACAGUUAAAACAAAAUAACAUUUUUCGUUCUUUAUCUUUCUAAUGACAUAUUAACCUAAUUUUUAUCCAUAAUUUGAAGCUCUUUAAUUAUCCACACGCAAGCCAUUUUGCUUCGAGGUAUGGUUUUCAAAACGAAAGGACUAUGGACGUUCGGCGGGUGACGAGGUAGAUUAAAAUUAAUAUUAAUAUUAUAGCAACACUUUCGAUGUUUAAAUUUAUUUAUUUAUUUAUUCGCGAAUCAUAGUUCAUUGUUGGUUAACACAAACACAGUAAAACAAUAAUAUCUUGAUUCAUGAUUAUUUGAAUGUGUCACGUUGUUUUCUGUAAACGAGUAUUUUUGAUUAUUAUGGUUGGGAAUUUGGUGCACAAUCAUUCCAAAAGGUAACUUCUCUCUAUGUAGACGUCAUGCAAUAUUUAUAGCCGAUGAUUAUUACCGUUCAUUUGAAUGCGAAAUAACUUUUUUUCCUCAGUUACGAUUCAGUCAUUGAGAUACCGAAUCACAACACAUGCAAGUAGAAAUUUUUAUUCAGUUUCUUUGUAAAGAGAAAAAAAAUUGAAGGUCUUCGACAAAAUAAGUGAAAAUCUGUCAAUUUAAACUUUGGUAAAAUUUAUUCAGAAGUUGUUUUUAACUUUAUUCGAUUAGGCAAAGAAAGUGAGAAGUUCAUUGCAAUUUUUACAAUCUUGUUAAUAAAAUUCAUUCUUUGUUUUCUUGCCGACGGUACCUUCGAAAUAAACGAAAAGUUGUUUAACAGCUAUGCUUACAUCUGCAUUUCCGAUGUAAAUUGUGCGUAAUGGGACAAUUAUUCGCUAUCGAAAACGUGUAAUGAUAAUACACAGAGUGGGCGGAUGAGGUCAUACAUAUAAUAAAUUUAACCACCAGACAUUACAAACUACCGUUUUCCUACAUGCCUAAAAUUUCUCGUCUCCCCAACGAAAAAUACACCUUUCCCUCUGCAACUGUGUAACUUACAAAGAAUCAUUAAAAAGAAGAGAAAAAAAAGAACAGAAAUCUUAAAGCAAAAGAUGAUGUAGGAAAUUCAAGUAACUAUUUGUAGAAGCAAUUUACCUGUAUUUUCUCUAUGUUGAACUAACAUAUCAAAAAGACUAAUUUCACAAAGAGAAAUUAGACUUAACAGAUCACAUAUUCAUUAAAACAUCCUUACAACACAACACAACGUCCACAUUCUUUCAAAUGAUAAUUCUUAAACCUUUCUUUUUUUUAUUCUAUAGACGUACAUUAAAGUUUGCUACAGUCAACGUGUUAUUUUUUUUUUUCUUUUCGCUACCUCACACAUUUUUCAAUCUUAAUUUACGCGCUAUCAAACUAAAGUAUUAACUAACGAUUAUCAUUUUUUGUUAAUAUUUACACGUGUAUCAGUAAGUCGAUCAUAUAUAAUACAACUUUCGCAUUCUUGCUGUCAGCGGCCUCUAGCAAUAAUAUUUUGAUGAACAUAGCCUACUCUCGAACAUUGUCGCUUAUAUUCUUUCUUUCACCCCCAAUUUAACCUUUUUUCGUGAGUCAAUCGUAUUCGAAAUAAAUCACGAAUAGCGUGUACAAUUUCAUAAAGAAUGACCAACCAGAAAAUGCGUCAACUACUCGACACUGUUAACGAGUCAUACGUCGAAAGUUUUCGAAAUUGGAGAAAAUCGCGACCAAGAACAGUGUCAUAUAUAUACACACACACACCGUCCGAGUUACUGGAACAAAUUUCGCCAUUAUAUAUACGGCUGGCUCGUGUAUCCAAUACAAAAAGGAAAAACAA
Molecule: long non-coding RNA, 5180 nt
Organism: Osmia bicornis bicornis
Lineage: Eukaryota; Metazoa; Arthropoda; Insecta; Hymenoptera; Megachilidae
Exons: 2
Source: RefSeq, a predicted model, not a curated record